UACGUAGGGGGCGAGCGUUGUCCGGAGUUACUGGGCGUAAAGCGCACGCAGGCGGUCUGUGAAGUUUGGAGUGACAGUUGGUGGCUCAACCACCAAAGUGCCUUGAAAACUGAUAGACUUGAGGGCUUCAGAGGGACACGGAAUUCCGGGUGGAGUGGUGAAAUGCGUAGAGAUCCGGAGGAACACCAAAGGCGAAGGCAGUGUCCUGGGGAGUACCUGACGCUCAGGUGCGAAAGCGUGGGGAGCGAACAGG
This 253-nucleotide ribosomal RNA is filed under the name uncultured bacterium. RNAcentral describes it as "partial 16S ribosomal RNA". It matches the Rfam family "Bacterial small subunit ribosomal RNA", at positions 524 to 776 of the family's 1533-position model. The record is from RNAcentral.